Molecule: long non-coding RNA, 528 nt
Organism: Rhagoletis zephyria (snowberry fruit fly)
Lineage: Eukaryota; Metazoa; Arthropoda; Insecta; Diptera; Tephritidae
Source: RefSeq, a predicted model, not a curated record
CUCCGUUUUCAAACUCGAAAUCAUCAAGUAAUCAAAACAUGUGGCCCAGGAAUUCCUUCGUGUUCCUUUUUGGAGCUGUGCUAUUAAUCACUAUAGCUGUUACACAUGCCCAGCCUGGUGUGCCGGGUGGUGUUGUUGUUAUCCCAACUAAAAGACCUCCUCCAACUGGAGCACCUACGCCCCCAACUAGGAGACCUACACCCCGAACCAGGAGACCUUUAAUCUACCAACUAGAAGUGCUACGCGUUCAACUAGAAGACGCACUACGCCGCCAACUAGAACAACUACAACUUCAACUAGCAGGCGAAUUACGCCGCCAACUAAGAGAGCUACUCCAAAGUAUACGAGACAGAACUAGGAACUGAUAAAUGUGCUUUACGCACUCUCAACUGUUAAUCUAGGCCGCGUAAUAACUGGCCCUUUAUAAGUCAGCCAUUGCGAAAAGCUAAAACUUGGGGAACCUGCCGCUAAUAAGUUAGAGACACAAUGAUUGAUAGAAUGUUAACUAAUUGAUGUUAAAUAUGAAAU